AACGAACGCUGGCGGCAUGCCUAACACAUGCAAGUCGAACGAGAUCUUCAGGUCUAGUGGCGCACGGGUGCGUAACGCGUGGGAAUCUGCCCUUUGGUUCGGAAUAACAGUUGGAAACGACUGCUAAUACCGGAUGAUGACGAAAGUCCAAAGAUUUAUCGCCAGAGGAUGAGCCCGCGUAGGAUUAGCUAGUUGGUGUGGUAAAGGCGCACCAAGGCGACGAUCCUUAGCUGGUCUGGGAGGAUGAUCAGCCACACUGGGACUGAGACACGGCCCAGACUCCUACGGGAGGCAGCAGUGGGGAAUAUUGGACAAUGGGCGAAAGCCUGAUCCAGCAAUGCCGCGUGAGUGAUGAAGGCCUUAGGGUUGUAAAGCUCUUUUACCCGGGAUGAUAAUGACAGUACCGGGAGAAUAAGCUCCGGCUAACUCCGUGCCAGCAGCCGCCGUAA
This 449-nucleotide ribosomal RNA is filed under the name uncultured bacterium. Its description in RNAcentral is "partial 16S ribosomal RNA". It matches the Rfam family "Bacterial small subunit ribosomal RNA", at positions 29 to 523 of the family's 1533-position model. The record is from RNAcentral.